UCUGGCCUGCUCAAUGAGAUUUAAAUAGCCGCAGUAUUUUGACUGUGCAAAGGUAGCAUAAUAAUUAGUUUUUUAAUUAAGAACUAGAAUGAAUGGUUUGACAAGAGAACGACUGUCUCUUUUUAAUUUUUAUUGAAUUUUAUUUUUAAGUGAAAAAGCUUAAAUUUAUAUAAAAGACGAGAAGACCCUAUAGAGUUUAAUGAUUUUUAUUAAUAAUAUAAUAGUAUUUUAAUUUAAAAUGAAUCAUUUAAUUGGGGUGAUUGAGAGAAAUAAUAAAUUCUUUUAUUUUUUAGUUGAUUAUUUUCAAUUUUUUAAUCUAUUUAUAAUAAAAUUAAAAUAAAUUACCUUAGGGAUAACAGCGUAAUUUUUCUUUAAAGUUCUUAUUAAAAGGAAAGUUUGCGACCUCGAUGUUGGAUUAAAAUUAAUUUUUGGUGCAGUAACUUAAAAAUUGGGUCUGUUCGACCUUUAAAAUUUUACAUGAUCUGAGUUUAAACCGGUGUGAGCCAGGUUGGAUUCUAUCUUUAGAAUAUUAUUAUAUUUUAGUACGAAAGGACAAAAUAUAAAUUAAAUUAAUUGU
RNAcentral lists this ribosomal RNA (577 nucleotides) under Cautires kotatinggensis. Its description in RNAcentral is "partial 16S ribosomal RNA". It matches the Rfam family "Bacterial large subunit ribosomal RNA", at positions 1853 to 2715 of the family's 2925-position model. The record is from RNAcentral. Lineage: Eukaryota; Metazoa; Arthropoda; Insecta; Coleoptera; Lycidae.